RNA transcript from Lagopus muta (rock ptarmigan), 13078 nucleotides. It is a transcript of the gene named translation machinery associated 16 homolog, with no coding region annotated. The transcript has 9 exons. NCBI's taxonomy places the organism in Eukaryota, Metazoa, Chordata, Aves, Galliformes, Phasianidae. The record is from RefSeq and is a predicted model, not a curated record.
UCAUCUCAGCUCCCAACUGCACCUUCUAGCCUCCGGAACCUCGUGCUCGCUGCUCAGCCGCCCGCCCGGAUCCCUUUGGCGGGAGCACCGUGCGGACGGCGGCCGCGGCGGGAAGGCGUUCGCCAUGCCCAAAUUGCCAAAAACCAAAGGAGGGAAGCAAGAGAAGAAAGCCGUCCAUCCGUACAGCAGGAAAGCUGCCCAGCUCGCGAGGGAAGCGCACAAAAAGGACAAGAAAGAAAAGUUGAAGACUGAGAAAGCUUUACGUCUGAGUAUUAUUGGAGAAAAACUGCAAUGGUUCCAGAGUCACCUUGACCCCAAUAAAACUGAAUACACAAAGAAGGAAGCGUGUGAACUAAUUGAAGAGUAUAUGGAACGGUUCAGUGCCGAGUUGGAGCAGAUUGAGUUACGAAACAGUAUUAAGGGUAGACAGGGAAGACAGCAUGGAUCAAGGGAAGCUGUCAUCAAGCAGACCAUGGAACGUGAAAGACUGCUCUAUGAAGGCUAUGGGAUAGAAAUCCCAGACAUUGUGAACAGCAAGCACCUUAAAUUUUUCAGGGAGUGGGAUGGUGAUCUGAAGAAGCUGCCAAACAUCAAAAUGAGAAAGCUGUCAUUUAGGGAUGCUGUUUGCAUUCACACUGAGGUGUCAGAUGUGGAAGCUGAAGAAGUGAAUAAAACAGAAGAUGUGGCAUCAUGAAGAUUCAGGAGCUGGAACGGCUGAAGGGAAUUUGAAUUAGAAUGCGACUGACUGCCAUGUGACCAAACUUCAGACUGAGGAACAGGAGAGUUCUGCCAUCUCAGCGUGGCAGGCAGAAGAGUAUUUGAGUGUCACUAGCAGGGGUAGCACUGCAUGGGACAUCCCAGAAAGGCAGGAGUGCUGAACUGGGAACAUGUCUUCACAAGGAUUCCCGGGAAUGAAGAAUUAGGAAGAAGAGUUCUGUUCUUUAGCUAUUUGUGAAUGACACCUCAAGCCGUUUUGUUGCAGUACAGCCACAACAUGUUGCUAACAGACAAGUCAAAAGCUGAAUGUUUAUUUUGACUUUACCUGAUCCACAGCUGAGAAGAAAACACAAACGUUAGCUUGUAAUAUUCAAACCAUUCUGAGAUAGUCUCAGUUGCUUACAAUUAGAGGAAGGCAGUGGUGAAGCAGCCUUCCCAUAAAAUACAAACUUAAGAAGUGCAGCUCCACUGAGGAGUAAAUGCUUGCCUUCUAAACCAGACAGAAGAAUAUGACAUUUACUAGCAAAAUGCCUUGAUUCUGAUGAACGAUCUUGCAGCCCAUAGCUGGAACACAGCAAGUGCAAAGUGUGAUACAACAGUGCCACCCAUCUCCCAGCCAUGCAAACACUCACUUGGCCUGCAGCUGGGAAGCAGCACAAGAAGCUUUGGUUUGAGGAAGUAACAAACUUCCCAAAUUGCUUAUGGCCGCUGUUGGAAAUGGCAUCCUAUGCUAAGUAGAUCUUUAAGCUGAACCAAGUUGGCUGCUGAUUUUUAAAGAUAAGUCUGGAAAAACUGGAGGCAUUAAAAAAGGCAAUAAAACACAGAACCUCAGGUUCACAUAGUUUGUGUUAGUAGCAUACAGUGGUUAGAAAGGACUUUAUCACUACAGUCAUAUCGUGUCUUAACAGAGACCAGGUUACACAGUGUUUGACCUGCAGACUUUGACCAUUGUUGCAAUGAAAAAUUCAACUCAAGCCUUGCAAGACGCUUUCUUUGCCACAGAAAUAAUUGUCUUCGUCCUUAAGGAAGAAAGGAUUCUACUUCAACACUUUGUGUAGCUUUAGAUGCUUUGUGGAAGUUCAGUGAAGAAUACAAAGACAAAUGAACUGGUAAUUAAACAGAUUCUUUCAGUCAUCUCUUAUACUAAGCUUCUGUUCUACUGAAGGGAAAAUUCUAUGCUGAAUUUUCUAUUGCCAUGCGUAUCAGCAGCUCACGAUAGCCUUUCUGUUCUCUGUAAUACACUCAAAAGCCUUUGGGAGUUCAUCUGAAUGCAAAGUCAAAUCUUUUCCAUGCAGACUUUGAAAAUUUAAAAAGAAGAAUGUUGAUCUCAAUAAUAUAAAUGUAAACAUUUUGUAGGUGGAAAAAUUUACAACAGGCCAAAUAGUUUAAAUAAAAGAAAAGACAGUUUCGUCAAGCUUGUGCUGAGAUUUACAAAAAGGGGAGAGCAAUACAGCAGAAAUGGGCUAAAGCAGGCCUUUCUUGCUAACAUCCCGUGAUCACAGAAUCAUUAAGGUUGGAAAGACCGAUAAGAUACUCCAGUUCAACCAUCAAUCCAUGCCUGUGACCACUCUAGACCACGUCACUCAGUGCCACAUCUUCCCUUUUCUUCAACACUUCCAGUGACAGUGACACCUCCCCGUGCAGCCCAGCCCAUUCCAGUGCCUCACCAAUCUUUCUGAGAAGAAAUGUUUCUUAAUAAUGAACCUGAAACUCCCCUGGCACAACUUCAGGCCAUCACCUCCUGUCUGAUUGCUGUUACGUGGGAAAGAGACCACCCCCACCUUGCUACAUCCUCUUUUCAGGGAGUUGUAGACAGUGAUAGCGUCUCACCUGAGCCUCCUCCAGAUAAAACAAUCCUAGCUCCUUCAGCCACUCUUUAUGAGACUUGUGUUCCAGACCCUCUGCAGCUUUGCUGUCCUUCUCUGGAUGUGCUCCAGGGCCUCAAUGUCUCUCUUGUAGUGAGAGACACAAAACUGAAUGCAACACUCGACAUGUGGCUGCACAGCAAGUCUUGCUUCUUCUCUGGCCCCUUCUCCCACCAGAAAGUGUACGUGCGUCUGUCAUAGCCAUGUUACCACACCAGAAAUAAGGUGGCCGAGAACAGAAUGGUAGAGGCCACCGGGUGGUUACAGAGCUGGAACAUCACACCCAAACAACUGCAAUAAAAAAGAAGGGCACAGGGAGGAUCUUGGUCACUGGAAUGGAUGCAAGGGGGGUCUGAGCUCUUGGGAGCAGUUUACAGCUGCUCAGUGGCACUCAAGGCAAUGCUGCUGCCUCAGCUCCAGCUGUAGUCCCAGUUGUCCUUCUACUCGAGUCACCGCGGUCUGAGCUUAGACAGGGAAGUCAAAUUAUAACAUUCAUCCAGUAGUCCUGGUGAUCCCUGUGGUAGAUGAGGUAAUUUUGUUGUCCUAAACACGUAUUGUAGCUUGGAUGAACAGUGAGCGUUGUGACUGCUGUCAUUCUCUGCUAGAUGUGUGAUCUGCUAGCAAUUUAAAUGAGCAAUGUGCUAUUUUAGGACUUUUGCAGUAGGCUUAAAUCUAACAUUUAAAUGUUAAUGUUCGCACAGACUUGUUUGGACAAAAGCAAAAACAGAUGAAGUAAAAACUGCUUGAAAGUCCAUAGCAAAGGCUUUGAAACAACAAUAUACUGGACAGGAAAAGCAUCAAGUCCUUUUACUUGUGCUCUGUUGACCAAGGCUCCACGUAUGCUAAAGCUGGAUGGGUGCAUUUGGCAGCUGCUGCCACAUCGUAGGUAUGCCUCCUUAACUCCCAUUAGAUUAAAGCAUGGUGGUAAUCCCCAGCUUCCUCAAUUCCCACAGCUACAUGAAGCUGCAUCACAUUUUUGCUAAUGACUGAAAUAAGAGUGCCAGUGCAAUUUCCUCGGAAGCAUGUAUCCCAGGGAAACUUGCACCGUGCUCUGCGAACCACUGGAGGGCGGUGGGAGACAACAUACGUGCUGCAGAAGUUCCUAGCAAGCCAGGGCAAAACAAGUGUCAAGGGAAACAAACUGGAUUGCUUUGGCUGUCUGAAAACCAAACGGCUCUUCCCAGCCCGAUCAGCACUUACAGCUGCUUCUAAAACACGCCAUGCAAUCGAGCCCGAGUUCUGUGCUUCACUGUCAAGAGGUCGGUAACAAACUUGUGCCCUGCUGUACAUUUCUACGUUGUGUUUUGCUCCUUACCAACCAUCUUAAUCAGAAAUUUAGAGGAAACAGUUGCUGGCUUCAUAACUCACUCUUGCAAUUAAAAACGAGUCCUCUGGGGGAGAGAGAGAAAAGAUGUGAACAGCCUCGUACCCAAGGAACGUCUAAAUCAGGCUCUGUCAAACCACUUCCCCUUCCUGUCACACAGCCUGAGAAAAUCCCAGAUGUUUGUUCUGAAGGACCCAAUUUGCCACCCCACGUGACAUUAAUAAAACCUCCGUUAAUCAACAUGCAACAAAUAGAUUGGGAUAUUUUUUAAUAUCCUCUUCAGCCCGAGGGUCUGAAGAUGCUGCUUCGUAUCCGAGAAAUACCAGUACAGCCUUUCGACUUACAGAGAGAAGCACAUGCACAGUUUUAGUUCUCUCCUGCACACGGAGCUUUGUGUGACACGAAGCAGUGUCAGGAUGCCCCCAGUGCAGGAACAACAGCUUUGCACCGUUCACACAACGCUGUUCCUGUUCCACAGAACUGUCCUCUGCAAGCUUUGCUGCCUGUAUUCCUUUGCCCACUGUCAGACUGCAGAUUUACAAUUCUGUGUCCUCGUGUCAGCUCCUGCUCGGGGUAACAAUCCUUGGGCACCAAAUUUUGUCUGCACAGACUUCCUGGAGCAAUUCUCAAUCUACUCCAGGUUUGCAGAUUCAUGUUUCAAAACAAAAGGUCCUUUUUUUCUGCAGAGGCUCAUGACCAAAGAUGCCAAAGUGAACGUGAAGUUAAUGAGCUGCUUAGCCAGAGAAUGAGUGCCUGGACUUUUGACUCCCAGGCAUUUGCAGGAACCUUAUUUUUAAAUUACACGUGAGGAGGCUUCAUAGAGAAAUAUGGAGCAGGCAUGGCAUUCUUAAUAGCAAAUAUUCUUCCUGUUCUGACAUUAUACAGCCAUUAUUUAGCAAAGAAAUGGCAAUGGAUACAAUGCAUACAGAUUCCCUUCUGCUCUCACAGCCGAAGUCAUGCAACAUUUUCUAAAGAAAGUCUUCGAACCAACCUCAAUCUUGAAAUAAUCAUGCAAAAUGUAGGCUAAUUUCGUUAGGGGCUGUCAUAGAAACUGCAUUUUGCACACAGGUUAGGAGUACUCAGAAAAGCACCUUUCUUUUCUCAAAAUAGGCUGAAGGAUCCAGGCUGUGUUUUUAAAACAGCUCCCAUGGUCUGGAGCAGCGUACAGAGCGGUGAGCUGAGCAGGGAAGAUAUGUCAGCAGUGGGCACAUGUCUGCAGCUUAGAGUUAUUUAUUGUCUGUGGGGAAGGGAGGGCUCUUUGGUGGCCUGUUGCAGUCCUAAUUGGCUCAGGCUCACUGCUAUCAAACGACAGCUGGAGGAAAGCAGCUCAACAGUAGUUUGCAGGAAUGGGAUUUGUGCAAUGGGUGGAAGAGGAAGAAAUAACAGUAAUGAAAGACAACGGGGUUCCCCGCAUCAGAGGAACGAGCCAGCCUCACGCAGAUCUGAAGUAUCGAUCAGAGAUGAGACUUUAAUCGUUGUAAUUUAAGGAAAAGCAUUUUGGAGCACACUGUGCUAUUUAAACAACGUGUGGUUACAGUCUGUACCCGAGGGACUGCAGCUUAAAGAAGGAAAAAGCAUGCCUCGCUGCAUCGUGCUCCAAGUGGAGCACCUGUCAUGCAAACAGCACGUAGCAAGUCUCCUGGCUGAAACUGAAAGGAAUGGGCCAUGAAACCUCCUUGUUCUGUUCCCCAAACAUUUCCAGAGUGUGUUCAGAAAGAACUCAGUGAGUUCACUGAGACACAGAAAACACUUUUGCGAUCGGCUAUGUCAAAAGAUGCAUCCCAGAGAAAGAACUCCUGAAAGAACCAGAGUAAGAACCCAGCCACUAAGCACAAAAAUAACAGAAACAAAAAUGUCAACCCCCCCACCCAAUGUCAUCUGGUGUAUUACAUGGCCAUAUCCAUGCACAGCCCUACCUUGACCUAGUUAGCUCAUUAGAUUAACUGCUACAAAUCCUCCUCUGGCAAACGUGCCUCAAGUUUACAUAAAAUCUAUUUCUGUCCCCCAUGUGACACUACACAAACCCAGCUGGAGUGCAAAUUAACGCCUGUGUUGUGUUUUAAACAACUAUUUUAAAAGUUUAAACCUCAGGUGCACCUCUAAAGACAAACACCUUAAUUCCCUUUUAUGUGCAAUACGCAUGAGCUACUUAAUGAAAAAUCUAACUUGGAUGCAUACUCUGAGAUUAUCACCUGCAUAGGACCAGCUUUAUCAUAAUGAAGACAUCCCUGUAUUUCUUUUCAAUGCAACAGCUAAAAAGGCUGGACUUGAGUGACAGAAUCAGUUGAGCACACUUCACAAACUUACGGGAUCUCUGACUGUACGUCGUCAAUUAGCAGACCCUUAAAAAGUGCAAAGCAGGGAUAUUAAGCAAUUUGAAAAGAUCAUUUCUAAAAUGAAGUAGCUGUUUUUGCAAUCUGGAAGUACCAUUGAGAAUACUUGUCAUUUACCAACCAGAAGAACUUCAGUACCUGCAUCCCAAUCAUUCCAACACAAACUAGAUGAAGAAAUACCACAUUUUGGCAAUAUAGGAGUUGCCAGAUCUUAUGUCCUUGUCAUACAUAUUCUGUCUCUGACAGUGGCUAACACCAGAUACUUCAGAGAAAUGUGUAAGAAACCCCGUGGCAAAUAGUUAUACCACAAACUCUCCAUACUGCAAGAUUCUUCCUAGCUCCUAUCCACAAGAAAGUAAUUUACAUUAUUACAUAGAAUGUAAAUGUAUUAUCUGAAGCGUUUACUUUCCAGGGUUCCUCUGAAUGCUGAAACAACAUAACUUUCUUUCCUUAAUAGAGGUCUACAUGACCAGCCUCUGUUACUAUCAUAAGCUUUUAUUUUAAAAUUGCUUCUCUGUUCCUUCCACUGUCAUUCCAUAGCGUAGGUACUGCAAUCACAGUCCAGGCCUCAAAAAAAAACUUGAACUAACUUAGACCAAAAUAAAGAUCAACCUAAUUACCAUGCUAAAAAGCAUUUUAAUUAAUUUUUCGAUUAUAAUUUUGCUUCGAGGCCAUUUAAAAUGAGAUUACUUUUUCCAGCCAAAGCGGUUGAGGGGGCUGCAUUUUGUGGUUUGUGCUCUAUGAUGACUGAACAGCUGUGACAUGUCCAGUGCUGGACUCUAAACGCCAAGUGAUGAGGCCAAAGCAGCCCCAAGUCCUUCUUCCAGUAGAGCAGCCGUAGCAAACCACCUCUCAGGAGCUCACGCUAGGGUCUCUGUCUCUAAACAUCAAAUCACAUGGGCUGCCUUCACAUAUCUGAGAGUAUUUGGGUCUUAAAAAAGCAAAAGAAAGCUAACAGAGCAAAAGAGAAAUAGGAAAAGAAAUCAGAGAGGUGGAUGGCAGCGUGCCGAAGGUCAGCAUCCCACCAGACGCUAUCGUACGCCUCUGCACCUUCUUCAGUCUUUUCCAAUUACUACCAAAUUCCCAGAAGAAUGAAUCUUCAUUGUGUUCCCUUAGGCACACACUUCCAGUUUAUGACCUUAAGUUUGUUAAUGAGAAGUCUUUACCUGAAUCAUUUUCUAUUCAACACUCAUUACACUGCUUAAUUUCCUCGGUAUCUAAUUGUCUAGCCUGCUGAGAAAUAUCUUGAAACGUGCAUUUCAAAAUCAGAGCUGAUGAAAUGAAACUGAUGACAACUGAAAAGCUAAAUCAAUGCCCUUUUUCUUUAGCUGUGGUUGUAAACAGUGCACAAUGUCUUCUCCAGAAGUUACAACAGAAUAGUCCACCUAUUUUCCCUUGUUUGCCUUCUCUUAGUGCAAGCAUGAAAAUUCACAUUACUGCCUUGUACAACAAGUGCUUGGCCUUUUUUGUUUGCAAGCAUGUCCUCGAUUCUCAUAAUUUAAGCACUCUUACCAGUAUGUAAAAAUUCACUGGAGUUCUAAUUUGUAUCUUACAGAACAGAAGCCUAAAGUCAUUUGCCAGGAGAACUUACACGUGACUUGAGCUACAGAACCAUGUACUGAAGCUCUAUAGUCCACGUCCCUUCAGCAUCACAUGUUGUAAAAUGAACAGAGAGAAAUACAGCAGUAAGCAGGGGAGGGAAAGGCACAGAGGUGAGUUUGCAUACGAAGGAGUCUUUUGAGGUAUUUCUGCCCUUCUCUCAUUCAGAUCAAACCAACUUGGCACAAUCCUUCCUCUCCUCUCCUACCACCCACUAAAUAGCAGAAGUGGUCCUGAACAAGGAGGUUUUUAGUUUUUUCCUCUUGUUGCUUUAAGCAUGUCAUAUCAUUGCCAUUUCCCAAAGUUGAGAGCAACUGACCUACACUGCAAGUAACAUGUAACUUAACCUCUUUCUUUGACUAAAUCAGCCUGAACCAUUACAAAAAUAUGCCUUCUAUACCCCUGAGUACCAAAACCCAUGCAUUGUUAAAUAUAUUUCUGUUUAAAUAUAUCUAGAUGUACUUUGUUUUUGUAACUUGGUAUAUGCUGCAUACAUACAUGGCUGAUGUGCCACUUCCCAAGAUUACAAAAAGGAGCUGACAUGCUCCAUAAUCUGUAAAUAUGGUCUGAAUACUGCUGAUUUCCAAAUGAAUAACUACAGUUACUUUCUCUACUUCAGUGUUUCCACAGGAGACACUCUUUUGAUCCUAUUAAAUAAAAAUGAAAUGCAGGAAAUUCGUGCUGAGGAAAAGCUACAGUAAUUAACAUAAAACUACAGCCCAGUGCUCUGGCAUGCUGAGCUGAGGGAACCUAUUCAAUGUGAGAGAACACCAACAAACACCCUACAUUCCAAUUUUGUCACAUACAAACUAGAACAGAUGAUAAAAGACCUACACUCCUGGAGGAGAAGGCUCUCACUUCAAGUAAUUUUAAUAAAAUGCCACAGGAAUAAAAUUCAAUUAACAGCAAAAAUCAAAAGUUUGGGGAAUAAACAAUGACAAUUUUCCCAAAUGAUCAGAAUUUUGAUCAAGUACCAUGCAUACAACUGCUACACUCAAGAGAAUCCAUUUUUAGCAUGCAUUCCAGCAGUAAGCAAGCAUCAGCUUGUGAACUAAAACUCAGUUCAGAUCAUACUCACAUCAUCAGUUCUCACACAGAAUCACUUUGAUGCAAACAAGCACUGUAAAAUUGGGUGUGUUACUUAAGUGAGAGACUAACAGACACAUUCACCAGAUCAUGAAUAGUAGCCUGCUCCCAUUAGAGCAUGAAUAGCAAUGGCCGUUUAAGUCAACGCCUGGGAUCAUCCUGUUAUUUGAACUUCAUAUUAUUAACUAUACAUUAUGUUUAAGGACUCUGUGCCAUUUACCUUCUUAAUGUAAAGCCAGUUUUAAGGGACUGUCAGAGCCAGACCUAAUCCAACCCUCCUCUGUUAGGAGCAAUAAAAAGCAGGCUCCAAAAAUGAAACAGUGAAAUGAAUGAAAUUUAGAAAGAAAAAGAAGAUUCCAAUUACUUAAAAAAUAACUGAGAAACUGAUGUGAACUGCAGAAUAGAGCAGAAUCUUCUACGUGAAAUGGACAUGAAAUCUUCUGAUGCAAGCUGCAUCUCCAAAAGAGCUCAGACCAAAACUAUUUCAGCUUCAGAAAGCACAGAAGAACUUGUACGUCCCAGAGCUCACGUUUGUGUCUGUGUGCAAGUGGGUAACAGCAGUAAUAGCUCGAGUGGGCCAAUCUCCUGAAUUCUCUUUGCAUUUGUAAAUGCUACUGAGCAGCAAAAGUAGCAAACUUAGAUAAGAGCAGUUAAUUAAAAAAGGAAACAGUUUUCAUUUCAUUCUCUGGUGUAAGAUUUUUUUUGUUGGCCGGCAUCCCAACAAAGUGCCUUUUUGCAAGCUGAGGGUAUGCCAUGAUGGUUUCAAAGCAUGAAGCACAAGUCAGCAUCUCCUGCCUUUGGGAUCUGGAACAGCUGUGUAAAUAAAAGCUGUGCUGCAUGUAAGGGAAAUAAAGAGAUGCAAGCCUAACCAAAUUCUACCAUCACAAGCAUGGUAAGAUACCUUACUCUUCUUAGGGCACGGGACACAAGACAACACCAGGAACCACAGCAUGUUACCCACAGACAGAUAAAUUAGCAGCAACGCUCUUUUACUCUCCCAAAUAUCACACAUACAGUUGUCUGAACACAGUAGUUCCUUGCAUCCUCAAAGCAUCACAGUGGGAUACAAAUGCUACAGAAUUAUUUUAACUUUCAAAGCUUUCAAAUACACUUUUCCCCCGAGCACAGAGUUAUUCACUACAAUAAUGUGAUAGCCAAUAAAAAAGUAAUAGCUCUGUGCCUUUGUGCAUAUUGGUGAAGUGUCUGACCCUGCAUAUUACAAGAAAUUAUUUGAGGCUAGCAAUGUUUUGAGAUGGUUUACUCUGAGAAAAGAAAACACUGAAGCAGGUUGCCUUGACGACGCUCUGCAGCUACACCAGAAAUCAAAAGGAAAUGUAGGAUCUUCUGCUAUGUUAAUGAUUGCAAAGCAUUCACCAAAUUGAGUUAAAAGCCAACUAAUCCCACGGCGAGUCAACGCUACCUGACCUAUGCAAUAUUAGCUAUCACUUCUUAUCAUAAGCCUUAUUAGAAAAGUGAUGACAAAGCCAGAUGGUACAUGCUUCAGAGCUGAGAGCAGGAAGAAGUAAACAACUUGCUAUCCGGUAAUGACUGCUCCGAGUUUCAUUUGUUCCUAGGAGACCGCCGGUCACGUCUGGCUCUGAGGGUCUGCUCUGGGGGCAGGAGAGGUUCCUAAUGGUGCCCAGGCUUGAUUUCACAACGACAUCCCUGCAGGUUGCUUCCCUUCCAGCAGUCAGCAGCAUAUUCCUAACUAAAAAGCGUAAACACAAACUCUCCAAGUUUUUAGCCGAAAAUAAAUCAAUUCCCUUAACAUAUUUUGCCCUCCCUGAAUUUAUCACGCAUGCCACCAGAUUUCUUCAAAUAAAGAUUUAUCCACACAGUUCUGAAUGAGUCCCUGCAGGCAGACAUAUUUCUUAAGAUUUACUCUUCAUAUGGGAUUGCACUGAGCACCUGGAAGGGAGCUCAAUCAGCUAACACUAGCUAAGAGCUCUACAAACUAGAUUUAGAGUAGUGUUGGUGACAAUUGUUUUGUGAAAAAGGCACCCUGUACUCUCUUAACUCAGACAGAGGGAACAGAAGCAGAUGUGCCCCUGCACAUAAUGUCUGGGUGAGAAACAGGACUCUGUGACUUUCCUUCUGUCCACCUCAGCACUCAAAGCACAAUUCUGACUUUCUUCUGCUGCUUCCAUAGGUAAUCAGCCUUCUAUUGAGGAGCCUUCAGAUUUACUGAUUUUUAAAUUUGAGCAUUACCCUGCACCACACAUUGCCUGUUGGCUCAAACCCUCAUUGGUUACACAGCUCCUCCUGAUCUGAUGGCCUUGGGGCAGCCAGAAUAUCUCUAAUCUCUUCUGUUAAAACAUAGCAUUUGCUUUUGAUCCAGCAGGUAAAUCACUGCCAUACCCCUCCGCUGACAUCUUCCUUAAUCAAGGUGAUUUAACUGGAUCACCACUAAUCCAGGGACUGAUACGACUGACCUGGGCUUUUCCAUAUGCAGUGUGAAAUUUCAGUCAGUCUGUCACAAGACUUCUCUCCAGGACUUAAACACCCUGCUCUGGGCAGCAGUGAAGCAAAUAUCUGCAACUGAGACUUAAACUCUUGAAUUCUGCAUGGCAGUCAGAGCUGGAAUGGAAUCUUGAUCACUUGUAUGACAAGCUGCUGAUUUUUAAAAUAAAUGGUACCAAGGGGAGAAAGAGCAUUCCUUCCUUCUCUUCAAUGACAGCGGGUGGGGACACGAGAAGUUCCACAGAGUUCAGGGGGCAAGACCCACAGAAAUGCAUCUUUUAUCAGAUUUAGAACUGCUAUUUGUCAAUACACAAUAAAAUAAGAAUACAGAAUGCAAGGGGAGUAAAUACUUAGAAGAUACACAGAAUCAUAUAAUGGCUUGGACUGAAAAGGACCUCAAAGAUCAUCUAGUUUCAACCCCCAUGCCAUGGGCAGGGUCACCAACCACUGGAUCAGGCUGCCCAGAGCCACAUCCAGCCUGGAACAUAUAUGUUCAAAAUAAGUUUCUUGCAUUAUCAGUAGACUUACACUGUUUUUUCUCCUGUUUAAUUUAACAGAAACUUAUCAUUUAAUUCUAAAAGAACACCUCCAAUCCUCUUCCAGAUCAGAAAUGCAAUGUACAUUAACUGGUGUAGUGCUUCCCUAAGCAAAAAUAAUGACUUGUUCUUUCUUAAUGAUCAGCAGGUACUACAAGGCAGCAAUGGCAUAUUACUGAUGCUACACAUAAGAAAGGCACUAUUUGUAAAGCAUUUCAAAGGGAAAACAAAAUCAAGAGAGAAAACAGACAUAUCUGACACCCCAGAAUAAUCUGUUGGGAUAAGCCAUCAAAGGAAAAGAUCAGAUACCAGAAGUCUUAAGCAGACUGCCAAAUUUAAAUACAAAAAAUACUCUGAAGAAUGACAGACACGGUGGAGAAAUCUCCAUAUGAAGGUAUUUCUGGAUUCUAAGUGCUUUAAUCCAUUUCAUACUCAAAUAUUUUGAAACAGUUCCUGUUUCUACUCUGCUUUUGAUACCAAAUUCAAGUGAUACAAAAGGCAGGUGCUACUUUAUCAGGAUCUCAUCCUUUUUAAUGAAAAAGUGAUUUGCUCAGGAUGAAGCUAUUACCUGAGGAAGCUCAAUAAGAAACUGACACAAGCUUAUUGUCACUUUGUAAUUCCCUGCUUGAUAAAUAAGGUUAUUAUAGACAAGAAUUUCUGUGCUAUGCACUGCAAAUUGUAAAAAGUACAGCAACCAUAUUAUUUAUACAGCCACAGACAGUCACAACUGAGACCAGGAGAAAUAAGAACAGACACGGUAAGCAAUGCUUAAUAUUUAAUCCCUAAAUUUAUAUUUAGACAAGUAAUUAGACCUCCCAAAAUACACGAGACACGUGUACUGCCUGUUGAUCAUUACUUAAAAAGAUAUCAAAAUUCAGUAAAAUGAUGAACCUAAGCUGUAUUUGGCAUCUGAUACUUUCGGGGACUCUGUAAUUAGAUUACUAGUCCAUACAGGGACAGGGGUUUUGAUUUUAAUGGAGAUAUAUUGAAUUAUAUUCACCUAAUACACUGCUCAUUGUCGCCUUUGGGUGCUAACAGCCAUAAAGAUGGUAAUUCACCGGUUGAGUUGGAACAGUUUUGUGUUAUAGUUAAGUCCUGCUUUUGUGAUGCUACCAAAACAUGUAGGUAUCUGGAAUUUAGUUCUGUGGCCUGUGAGUU